RNAcentral lists this long non-coding RNA (898 nucleotides) under Androctonus crassicauda. Lineage: Eukaryota; Metazoa; Arthropoda; Arachnida; Scorpiones; Buthidae. The record is from RNAcentral.
CCUAAUACUAAUGCACUCUUAAUGAGUGUAAAUAUGUUUAUUGGCUUUAAUAUUCAUUACCAAAUGAAAAAAGGCUGUAAUUUGCUUUAAAAUGAUAUUCACUUUAUGGCAGAAUGAAAAAAUUAUUUUGCUGUAUUAGAAGGGUAUGCCUGUAAUCUCUCUCUCAAUGGUGUCUCUACUUUGUCAUAGUGAAGGAGCUUGCAUGUUCCAGUGACCCUGAGAGCUAUGCCAGAGAUAGCUUUGCUACUGGUAGACCUUUCCUUUUGCUACUGGUACUCUUCCUUUGACCUGUCCAUGCUGGAAAAAGAAAAAGGCCCAGACUAAGAGAGCACCACUACACAAAUUAAAGUGUGAAUUAUCAUGGUGAGAGUUGAUGGCUCUGAGUUAGUGAAAGAUGCAGUGUUCUGAAUAAUCUCUUCAAGGUACCAGGCAAAACCUUGUUGUAGUUAGUCUUCCACCCAUAUUGUAGGAUAACUGAGUGGUGACCACUUUGUGGUUCUUCCAAUAAGUUCUUGUUACAUGGAUAACAAUCACACUUUUUGUCAGGAGACUGCUUCUCUGCCCCACCGUGGAGUCAGCAAUUCCAGUUUACCUGUUGAGGGGGCUUGGGUUGCCAGCUUGCCUCAGAGCAGUGGGAUGGUGGAGCAGUCUGCGUCUUUUUCUUCUUCUGUGAGUAAACCUAGUCUGCAAUGGGAAGAUUGUCUAGAGUGGUUAAGAGAAAGCAUAGGAUGGCUAGAAGCAAAGCUGCUGUUACUGGUGGUUCUCAGUUACCGGGCAACUAGCUUUGUCUGAUCCUCCUGUUGGUACCCUGAGUUACCAGCAAGCAGAUCAGAUCUGCAGUUUCUAUCCUCUCUUCUGGGGAGGGUAGGCCUGCAAAAAAAGUACUCUGUGCUCUUAG